UCCCGCGCCUCUAACUCACGAAAUCUCUCAGUAGAGCAAGUUGCGGACGCCCUUUCUUCAUCAUCUUCUCUACAAGGCAAGUCGCCACAAUCCGAAUAACAAAGAUGGAUUAUGGUUUCGAUUAUACAAUAAUUGAACAGUCCCGAGGUCAAGAUGGUGGCAAACAGAUAGGUCUUAUAUUUGUCUAGACUCUUUAAUUUAGCUUUUUGGUGCUUUACGGAGCUCCGACCCUGCUUUGGCAUAUAAGGUAACAUGACUCUCAUUCUUCACAUGUAAUGAUUCAUGGAAUAUCUUUAACAAGAAAAAUUCUAAAGGAUUUCCUAGAACUAGAUCAUGCUCUCUGUUAUAGUACAUUUGUUGAAGAUAGUUAAUGUCAAUUUGGAAUCUACUUUUCAAUAAUUGAGUUUCCAGCAACCAAGUAUGAAUAAAUUUUCUGAUAUUUCUUAACUAGAUGGAAU
This is a non-coding RNA of Nicotiana tabacum (common tobacco), 458 nucleotides long. Lineage: Eukaryota; Viridiplantae; Streptophyta; Magnoliopsida; Solanales; Solanaceae. The record is from RefSeq and is a predicted model, not a curated record.